UACGUAGGGGGCAAGCGUUGUCCGGAUUUAUUGGGCGUAAAGAGCGUGUAGGCGGCCAGACAGGUCAGCUGUGAAAACUCGAGGCUCAACCUCGAGACGUCGGUUGAAACCGUCUGGCUAGAGUCCGGAAGAGGAGAGUGGAAUUCCCGGUGUAGUGGUGAAAUGCGUAGAUAUCGGGAGGAACACCAGUGGCGAAGGCGACUUCUUGGCCUGUUCUUGACGCUGAGGCGCGAAAGCUGGGGGAGCAAACGGG
This 253-nucleotide ribosomal RNA is filed under the name uncultured bacterium. RNAcentral describes it as "partial 16S ribosomal RNA". It matches the Rfam family "Bacterial small subunit ribosomal RNA", at positions 524 to 776 of the family's 1533-position model. The record is from RNAcentral.